Molecule: ribosomal RNA, 254 nt
Filed under: uncultured bacterium
Lineage: Bacteria
Description: partial 16S ribosomal RNA
Rfam family: Bacterial small subunit ribosomal RNA
Source: RNAcentral
UACGUAGGGUGCGAGCGUUGUCCGGAAUUAUUGGGCGUAAAGAGCUCGUAGGCGGUGUGUCGCGUCGGCCGUGAAAACCUGGGGCUCAACUCUGGGCGUGCGGUCGAUACGGGCAUCACUUGAGUUCGGCAGGGGAGACUGGAAUUCCUGGUGUAGCGGUGAAAUGCGCAGAUAUCAGGAGGAACACCGGUGGCGAAGGCGGUCUGCUGGGCAGUUGCUGACACUGAGGCGCGACAGCGUGGGGAGCAAACAGG